Non-coding RNA from Chrysemys picta bellii (western painted turtle), 1021 nucleotides. Lineage: Eukaryota; Metazoa; Chordata; Testudines; Emydidae. The record is from RefSeq and is a predicted model, not a curated record.
GGAACCACAAUAAGUGGGGUUUUUUUCGUAUGCCGGUAUGCUGUGGAAGCAGGAACCACCCAGUACCGAGGAAGAUCAGUAUUCAAUAGCAACCGCAUAUGAAACCGUUCAAAAUCAGCUUCCCACCCGCAUCAGAAAGACAGAAAGCCGUUAGGACCCAGCGCUAACCAAACCCAACCAUGGAAAACGAACUUCCUCUGAUCCAUGGCUGGCUUCUCAUACCCCUCAGUUUUUAGGUGGAGGAUGAACCAUGGUUUCACUUCUCUUACCUGUUUCUCUUCACUUCUGAGCUCCCUGUUUAUAUGUGCCUGGGCAUGGGUUGACAGCUCUUCCAUUACCUACAAUAAAGAACAAUGCGCGCUGACUCAGUUUCAGGGUGUGUGCAGCAUUCCCCAGAGAACUCUACAUGGAAAGCUCUUGCAUCUGUUCAGUGUGUCAGCUCCAUGGCCAGCCAAACAACGAAAGCUCUUGGUGGGAACAGUAUCAGAGGGGAUUGCUGACCGUUGUGCCGGAGCCUUAGCAAGGUUCAGCCCUCGGAGGCGUGUUCGCCUCUUUCCACUAGCAUCAGCCGGGCUUGCAGGCCCACACAGAGCAGGGAAGAAACUCCACCAAGAGGUCUGGGAAGUUCCUUUGUUCCCUGUCAGGGGCAGGUGAAAGACCCCAGCCCCAAGCCCUUUGGAGAUCGAGGUCUGAAUGGCACAUUUCUCUCAAAUGGGUGAACUGGGGAGCGCACAAGGGAGUGUUUUGGUCACAGUUUUGGGUUCCUUUGAUUUUAGGAGCCUCAUGUAUAAAUUAGCUGUAGAAAGGGGGCAAAACAUCUAUUUUGGUGCCAACGGAUGUCUGGUAUCCUUCCCCACUCUGUCACCUAGACCAGAAGAAAUGCAGGAUGAAGGCUGUACAGUAACAAUCUGAUACGCCCCAUCCUACCCUGUGGGUUAUCACCUCUGCGCUAACCUUUAGCCUGGUUUGCACUUGGGAAGGGGGGAAGGAGGUUCUGCACCAGCGUAGCUACACUGAUGCA